This 6304-nucleotide long non-coding RNA is filed under the name Ananas comosus (pineapple). Its description in RNAcentral is "long non-coding RNA (ACOM_LNC027098)". The record is from RNAcentral. Lineage: Eukaryota; Viridiplantae; Streptophyta; Magnoliopsida; Poales; Bromeliaceae.
UGUGCGUGGAGAAAAUUUAUUUUUUAAGGUUUAUAAAAGAAAGAAAAGAUUGAGAAAUUAAAAAAAAGGGCUCGGACUUUGAUUGUUUUUUUUGAGAGAUAGGUAGCACGCUACCCGCUUCGUUUAUUUUAUUUAGAAAUAAACUUAGCUAGAAAUGUGAAUCACCUAGGAUUCGAACUUGGGUCUCGGAUAUCAACCACCAAGUCCUUUGCCACUUGUUCUAGGGACGGUCGGUCUCAGACUUUGAUUGUUUUUCUCUCUUUCGUAGUUGUACUAGCUUUUUACUAAGAAGGCGAGUUUAUGAUAAAUAUUCGAUUUGAUGCUUCUAUAUAAAAUCUAAACAUGUCGAUAUCGAAGCGAGUACCGGAUCAACAGUUGAUAUCAGAGCGAAUUGCAAAUUCUCAAAAUCUUAUAUCAAAAUGAGUAUAAGAUUUCCAACAAACUAAUUAAGCAAUUGACAAUCAAAUUGACUAUGUUUGGCUCGGUUGAACCAAUUGAUUACGCAAACUAUUGGAAAUGACUGCCACCUUAAUUUCUAAGUAAAAUAAAAUAAUUAAUGUCAUUUUGUUUUUAAAAAAGCAGAAAACAUCUAGUUAAUUAACAACCUAGUAUUUCAAUGUUAUGAUUAAAAGUAUACACAUUUUCCUUUAAAAAAAAAAAAAGGUUCAUAUAUACUCUCAUAUUUGGAUAUAUACGUACGUGUACAUCUAUACAAUAUAUAAAAAAGCAAAUUAAUAUAUUUUUUGGAUCUGUCAUUUUUCUUUCCCAGAAUACUUCUAAUUAACUAUUUUUAUUUUUAAAACAAUUGUAGUUAAUAUUUUUUUAACCCUUUACACGACUCUACAGCUCACGUGGCUCCGGUAAUAUUUUUAAUUUAAUUUUAGUUCUUAAAACUAAUUUAAUUUAGUAAACCAAAUUUAAGAAAUUAAUUUAGUAUAAUCCUUUCUAUAUUUUAAUUAAAUUAGGCAAUUAUAAGCAAAUAUAAGUUUUAACGACAAAAAAGUUUUAUAAUCUACUUACAUUUAAUAGAUAGAUCUAAUUUAAUUAAAUCUACUAUCCUCAUUCCGAUGGUAUGCCAAAUUAGCGUUUUGCAGCGGAUAGAAACCGUAACAGUAAUUAAUAAUAUAAAAAUAUUAAACAUUUUCUUGUAUUUCUCAAUUGGUACAUCCACUAAAGGCCUCUCACUAUUGGCGGGGAUAUGAGCCCGAUGAUGCUUUCUCCGGCGAUGGUGAUAGUGACGGCGACAACGAUCCCUCCAACCGUGGCGGAAGGGAAAAGUGGGUUCGUGUGAGAGAGAGAGGGAGCGAGGGAAGGAGGCGAUGAUGUAUAGCAAAAUAUGAGAGAUACAGAAUUGAUGAAUAGAUUGAAGAUAAAAAAUUAAAGGUCCGGUGGAAGAAAGGAAAAAAAAGAUGAUGAAUAAUUAGAGAUAGAGAGGUUAGGAUUGUAGAUGGGAAUGAGACCAUUUAAAUAUACUAAUUAAAAUUUUGGUAGUGGAACCGUUUGCAUUAAUUAAAAAUAUAAUGGAGGGAAGGGAAGUGGUCAUGUUGAAUAACUGUAGAUAGAAACGAUACAAUUGUAAAUGGUAGUAGGACCAUUUAAAUACACUAAUUGAAAGUUUGGUUAGUGAGACCGUUAAAAUGCAUAUUGAAAAUUUGGUGUAGGGAAGAAGAAGAGUCACAUAUUAGUGAGGGGGAAGGAGAACUUGCCCCGUGGCAAUAAACAUUAGGAAUUCAUUUAGAUUAUUAUUAUUAUUAUUAAUAGAUUUAUAGAUAAUUAAAUAAUAUAUAUUAUAUAUAAAAUUAAAUUUUACAAAAUAGAUAAAUACAUUUAUUUUAUAUAUUUAUGUUUUUUAAGCAAAGCACGCGUUGCGCGAGCACUUUGACUACUAUAUGCAAGAAAUUAUAUAUAACAUAAUUUCAAUUAAUUCGGUUAUUUUCAAUUAGAUUUGAUUGAAAAAGCAUUGAAAAAUAAAACUAAAACCAAGAAACCUGAAUUUAGUUAAAUCGAAAAUAGAACCAAAGAAAAAAUCUAUUAAAUUGAACCGAAAUUCAUAAUUAGUAUUUGUUUGGUUUAAUUUUCAGUUUGUAAUUAAACUAUGAACACUCUUAACAAAUUACAGCUCAUUUUACAGUUUGUAAUAUUUCAAAAAGUCUUCUAUAUCUGUUAUUCUUAUUCAAAUUAUCGCCGUGCAAAUUAAGUCGAAGAGUUGUAAGAGGUGUGGGCGAAGUUAUGGAAUCAUCGUAAAUUUCUAACUAGGCAUGUUAUAGUACUUUGUCGCUUAGUAGGAGUUUUCGUUCCCACAUAUAUGUAAAUACUUGAUAGGAUUCAUAAUCAAUCAAUGCGUUAACAAGAAAAUAUAGGAUGAUAGUAACCCCUAAAUCGAAAUGGCAUGAUUAAUUGGUAGUAAAUUUGUGAGCACGAAAUGGCAUGAUUAAUUUCAAAUGCUCUAAAUUAUAUUUAACGAUAUCGAUCAUUAAUUCAAAAGCUCAAUCAUGAAAAAUGUCUUAUGUCUCUAUACUCAUAAGAGUAUAUAUAAUAACUCUACUAUCAUGGAUUUAAGUGCCGUGGCACAGAAUCGCGCCGGAAAUUUACCGGCAUGAUGCGUGCCGGAUUGUACCGAUACGUGCCGAUCAUAAAAAGUACAUGUGUGCCGACACAUAAUGGCAUGAAAUAUUUGUUUUCUUUAGCAACAAAGUGUUAUAGAGGUUUAUUAUGUAUCAUUAUCAAAUAUUUUGAACUUUAUUGAAAAAAUUAAUCACUUACUAAUUUGAAGAAUAGAAGGUUUUGAACUUUGCCAUCGGUACGGGGGCUGUAUCGUUCCGAUAUCUUGUUAACACGAUAUGAAGUGGUAGAUACGGUAUGUGCCGAUGGGCACUUAAAUUUUUGCCUACUAUAUAUACAUAUAGAGAGAGAGAGAGAGAGUAGGGUUACUAUAUUCUUACGAGUAUAGAGUCCUUCGUACUCAUAAAUUAUUUUUGAUGUUGGGGCUUCUGAAUCAACAAUCCACUCCGUUAAUUAAAUAUAAUCUAGGGUACUUAAAACUUCUGAAAAAUAAAUUUUGUAAUUUUUUAAAAUCAUAAUAAAGUCCAAGUCAUUGGUACUAUUGCGCCAACUCAUUAGUACUGUUAAGUUUUUAACCCUUGGAUGAAGGUAUGUUUAUCAUCUUCUUAGGGUUGAGUGAGUGAUUGGUUAAAUAAUAUAAUCUAACAGAUAGAAAUGGUCAAAGACGUAAAUCUAAUGGUGAAAAUUUGGUAGUAUCAAAAAUUUGGUACUAUCUAACGGAUAUAACUGGUCAAAGACGUAUAUCUAACUAUGAAAAAUUUGAUAGCAAAGAAACUUGGUGCUAUUAAAAACAUCUAAUCGGACUCUCACUCUCUCUCUCUCUCUCUCAAUAUAUAUAUAUAUAUAUAUAACACAUCUGAAAUGCUAUAAACAUGUGAAAAAGAACGAUUCCUAACGUAAAGCCUAAUAAUUUAUGUAGGUAAUUAACUAAGGAGAAGCCUAGGUUGGGUGCAAUGUCCUUAUAUAAUGGCGUGUUGGGCCCUAAGCUGCUUCCGUUACGUUGCAGUUAUGCGACAUUAAUCAUUUCUCGAAUUUGUCCCCUCAUUUAUGAUUUCUCUUACACACACACACACACAUAUAUAUAUAUAUAUAUAUANAUAUAUAUAUAUAUAUAUAUAUAUAUAUAUAUAUAUAUAUAUAUAUAUAUAUAUAUAUAGUUGGUGGUUCCCACCCCUAAAAUCCGGGACCCCAGAUCACGUCUUUUUUUUGCCAAAAAGAAAUAUAACAGGAGACACUACAACAGAAUUAGAUUAUAGAGACACAUAUUUAAAACAUUUUGUAUAAGUGUCAUAUUUAUGCCAAAAUUAAAAAAAAAACGUACUAAUACUUAAAUAUAAAGUCCAAUCAAAUCAAAAAUAAAAGGAUACUCUACUCAAUCCACCCCAUCCAGCCUAUUCGGCCCGAUUAUAAACAAAAAAGAAAAAGAAAAAAAAAAGAAAAGAAAAAUCGAUUAUUAUUUCUCCUUCUCCCCUCAUUCAAUCGACUGAAAUCCUAAACGAAGAUCCCCUCAUCUCGUCCUCCUCCGUCACCGCAGCCAACGGGAUAGAGUUCCGACGGUUGCUAGAUGCUUAAAUAAAUACUGAUAAAUUAGCAGCACUCUUUUAGAUUAUAGUAACACUCUUAACUGUCACUAUAUACCUAGCGACCCCACAUAUAGCAACACUUUUUAAAAGUGUCGGUAAUUUAACCGGCAGCACUUUUUUUGACUUAUACCGAUAUUUAAAAGUGUCGCUAUAGACCGUUUUUGUUGUAGUGAGAUAUAAUACGCAAUUAAUAAGAUUAGAUAUUUUUCUGCCUAAUUGCUGGAUCUAAUACCUUGUUCCCACCGAAUGAUAUUUCCAUGAUUUUUUUUUUUUCUUAAAAGGGAAUUGUGUGGGAGGCUUUUGAUUACCUUACAAUGCGCUCCAAAAUACCACAUAGAUUCAUCAACAUAUUUAGAAUAUAUGAAAACAUUGUAUUGUGAAAAUUUUUUGGUAACACUCAUUUAUCUAUUGUUUGAAACCGUGCCCCAAAUUAAUAUUACACAAUCAUUCUCUCGACUUCAGAGACAAAUUGGUUGCAUUCAGUUACAAUUAUACUAUAAUUGUAACUAUGUACAAAUACAAAUUUAGUAUUUAAUUACAUGUAUUUAACUUCAACUGUUAUAAUAGGAUCUGCAAGAAAAAGCCCAACUGUAGCAGUUGGAACUACACUCAAAUUCACAGCAGUUCCAACUGCAGCAGUCGGAGAGAGUAAUUUUAAGCAAAAAUUAAGCUUACCUCCCUAAUUAUCUUUUAAACAAAAAAUAUUUUUCAUUUUUUACAAUGGAGAUAAUUGUACAAUCAUAUAUAUAUAAUAAUAAAAUUUAAAAAAUCAUUUCUCAACUGCAAAUAACCAAACAAAUUAUUUAUAAUUGCAGCGCUUUCUACUAUAUCCAACCAAACAAAAUACAUGUAGUUAUAAUUACUAUCUUUUCUUUUUUGAGAGAUAGAUAGUACGUUACCUGUUUCGUUUAUUUUAUUUAGAAAUAAACUUAGCUGGAAAUGUGAAUCAACUAGGAUUCGAACUUGGGACAUCGGAUAUCAACCAUCAAAUUCUUUGCCACUUAAUUGCUCUAGAAACGAUCGGUAUAUAAUUACUGUAUAUUCAAUCGUAUAUAUUUUCAACUGCACUGUAUUUAUAAUUAUAUCUAAUCAAAUCAAUACUGCCUCUGAUAAAUGAUAAAAUGGAAUGUAGAAAAUAUUAGAAGAAAAAAAAAAAGAAAAGAAAAAAAAGAGAGGGGGGUAGACGACAAAUUGUCCUCUAUCAUGAGCACAGUGGUUAAGUUGGAAGUUUCAAAGAGUUUUGAAGUGGCACUUUCUCAUUCAUUCUAGAUUAACGUACAAAAAGAGGCAAAUUAAUUUAAUUUUAAUUGGAACCUUCGAGCGGGACGCGCGCAUCCACCAAUCGCAUUAAUGCGCAGAACAUCGAUCUCUGGUUAGGUUAGGUUCGCGGGGCCAGGCGUGAUGUGGACCGUUCGAUACGGGGAAGCUCCACCGUCUCUAUCUUACGCAGGGGGUUCUAAAAGUCCGACUUCACGGCCACCAAUACAGCAUGGGUUUGUUUGGUUUUGCUCAAACUUUUAUUUUUAUUUUUAUUAUCAUUUUUGUUUGGGUUUCUAUUUUUUUGUUUAAGUUGUGUAAGACUUCGUUUAAAAUUGUAGACAAAAUGUACAGACUUGCGAUGGGAAAGUACGGGAAAAAAUGUUAGAGUUUUUUUUUUUUUUUUUUUGAGAGAUAGGUAGCACGCUACCCGCUUCGUUUAUUUCAUUUAGAAAUAAACUUAACUGGAAAUGUGAAUCAACUAUGAUUCAAACUUAAGACUCGAGUGCCAACCACCAAGUCCUUUGCCACUUGCUCUAGGGGUGGUCGGUAAUAUGUAAGAGUUAAUUGUACACAGAUCAUGAAUUAUAAAUAUAUUUUUACAAAAUUCAACUUUCAUAUAUUAUUCUUGUAAAGUCCUAAUACUUUCAAAUAUGUCCCUGUCGUUAGAAUUCGUUAGAAAAUUUUAGUUAACCAUAUGUUAAAUACUUAAUUCCGAUUAGUUUAUGAGAUAACUUGAUAUUUUUAUCCAUCUUAUAUGAAAAUAUAAACGGUUCUCUAACGGUAACAAACCAGAGGAAAAUAUUUGAAAAUAUUAGAACUUUUAUAAAAAUAAUAUAUAAAAGUUGAAUUUUGUAGAAAUAUAUUUGCAGGGACCUACCUCUAUGCAAUUAACCCAAUAU